GUGUUUGACAGAUGUUUUAUGAUAUGCUCAGCUGUAAUUCAGGUGGGGUUUUGACGAUAACAAAAAUACAGAUAAGUUAUUACACGUAGUUAUCCCAUCAUCAACAAAUUGACAAGGAUAAAAGUAAUUUGAUAUACAUAACGACAUUCUAUCCCGAUAAUCAUGAUAUUGUUUGCAAUCAAAUCGUACACGGAAGAUAUUGUUACAAUACUCAAUUUGGUUGACCCAAGAUAAUAAUUGAAGCUAAUACAUG
Molecule: long non-coding RNA, 253 nt
Filed under: Mytilus galloprovincialis (Mediterranean mussel)
Lineage: Eukaryota; Metazoa; Mollusca; Bivalvia; Mytilida; Mytilidae
Source: RNAcentral